CCGGACCCAAGCCAGAUCUGCCCACCGCCUGCACCGCGUCGGCUCCGAGCUUCCCCUCGACGCCCGUGCCUGAGAUCUGCUCGUGACCCAGCAUCCGGCAUUCCUUACUCCGGUCGCGACCUCUACCGUCCUUCCCCGACGCCGCGCCGCGCCUCAACGCCUUGCCAGCCUUGCCCUGUCCGCGAUCCGCCCACCACGCCGCCGGAAUCCCUC
This 213-nucleotide long non-coding RNA is filed under the name Eucalyptus grandis. RNAcentral describes it as "long non-coding RNA (EGRA_LNC005704)". The record is from RNAcentral. Lineage: Eukaryota; Viridiplantae; Streptophyta; Magnoliopsida; Myrtales; Myrtaceae.